CAACUGAGCUGUGUAACAGCGCUUUUUGUUAAAAGUGAGGAAAGUCCGGGCUUCACAGAGCAGGAUAACUGCUAACGGCAGCCGAAGGCAACUUCCGGGAAAGUGCAACAGAAAUAUACCGCCUUCUUUUUGAAGGUAAGGGUGGAAAGGCGAGGUAAGAGCUCACCGGCGGCGGGGUAACUCGUCGCGCUCUGCAAACCCUAUCCGAAGCAACAUCGUGGUACCGCAUAUUUUAUUGAUAGCAAUCGCUAUCAGAGCGCUUGCUCGGCGCUUUAAAUAUGUUGGUAGAGAUGGCUGGAGCUUUGCAGCGAUGUAAAGCCAAGAUAGAUUGUUACACUCGACAGAACCCGGCUUAUAGGCUCAGUUGUAAU
Molecule: RNase P RNA, 371 nt
Filed under: Oscillospiraceae bacterium
Lineage: Bacteria; Bacillati; Bacillota; Clostridia; Eubacteriales; Oscillospiraceae
Description: RNase P RNA component class A
Rfam family: Bacterial RNase P class A
About the family: Ribonuclease P (RNase P) is a ubiquitous endoribonuclease, found in archaea, bacteria and eukarya as well as chloroplasts and mitochondria. Its best characterised activity is the generation of mature 5'-ends of tRNAs by cleaving the 5'-leader elements of precursor-tRNAs.
Source: RNAcentral